Molecule: ribosomal RNA, 204 nt
Filed under: uncultured bacterium
Lineage: Bacteria
Description: partial 16S ribosomal RNA
Rfam family: Bacterial small subunit ribosomal RNA
Source: RNAcentral
AUUGUAGUCUGCAACCCGACUACAUGAAGCUGGAAUCGCUAGUAAUCGCGGAUCAGAAUGCCGCGGUGAAUACGUUCCCGGGUCUUGUACACACCGCCCGUCACACCAUGGGAGUCGGAAAUGCCCGAAGUCUGUGACCUAACCGUAAGGAAGGAGCAGCCGAAGGCAGGUCGGAUGACUGGGGUGAAGUCGUAACAAGGUACC